Molecule: ribosomal RNA, 264 nt
Filed under: uncultured Streptococcus sp.
Lineage: Bacteria; Bacillati; Bacillota; Bacilli; Lactobacillales; Streptococcaceae
Description: partial 16S ribosomal RNA
Rfam family: Bacterial small subunit ribosomal RNA
Source: RNAcentral
GCCAUCAUUCAGUUGGGCACUCUAGCGAGACUGCCGGUAAUAAACCGGAGGAAGGUGGGAUGACGUCAAAUCAUCAUGCCCUUAUGACCUGGGCUACACACGUGCUACAAUGGUUGGUACAACGAGUUGCGAGUCGGUGACGGCGAGCUAAUCUCUUAAAGCCAAUCUCAGUUCGGAUUGUAGGCUGCAACUCGCCUACAUGAAGUCGGAAUCGCUAGUAAUCGCGGAUCAGCACGCCGCGGUGAAUACGCUCCCGGGUCCGUU